CAAAAAGAAUCCAACACGGAAGAGGGGCAGUGAGUUGGCGGAGAUCGAGAGCAGGGACAGUGCAACCAAACAAUGAACAAAACAAUGAAAACAGAAUCUUUUUUAUAUAACAGAACAAUCAAAACAUGAAUCAUACAAUCACUAAUUGCAAAUUUUUUCUUCAUAAGAACAGAACAAUGAAAACAUGAAGCAUAUAAUAAAUCAAAAGAUCACAAAUUGCAAAUUUUUUAAUAAGAACAGAAGUUAGAACAAUGAAAACUGAAGAAGAUUAACAGUUUUCAACCCAAUUUUAACAAAGCUCAUCACAAUGAUUAACAACAAAAAAAAAAAGCAAUGAAGGAACAGUGAAUCAUAAUAGAGUUAUCAAUUUAAAAUUUAUCAUUAAAUACAAUCAGUGAGCAAAACUAAUCAACCAAGCACUGACUGGGCAUUUGAAAAAAGAAGAAAGAAUCUUUCAUUUAAAUCACAGCAACAACACAACAACACCAAUAGGAACAUUUAAAACAAAGCAACCAAAAAAAAUAUCUCAAAAUCACCAUUGCUGAAAACAAUAAUUUGAUACGUGUAUGCUCAAAGAAUAAAAGCUAAGCUUCCAGGAAAGUGAAGAAUACCCAAACCAAAGAACCUUCAAUCACAGCUUAAACCAAGAACAGAAAAUCACAACAAAAUGAAAAAAAAAAUUAAAGAUAACAGAACAACAACACAAGAACAAUUAGCAAAUUAACAAGUUCACAAUAACAGUUAAAAUUUACCAGUGUGCAAGUGGAAUCAUUAUGCUAAUAUGUUUUCUGCAAAGACGCUAUUUGUGCAGCUAAAAUUUCCUAAUUACUAAGAUCCAACUAUUCUUAAUUUCACAUGCAAUCAACUUACCAAGUUUCUAAAAGCUAGAAAUUAUAAAACCAACCAGAAAUAUGGUUAAAGCAUUUCAUCAAACAUGUUGAAUGCGGUAAAAUUAAAACGAAAUAAGAGAACUCAAAGCUUAAUAUCAAUGUGAUAGAGAAGAGAACAUAACAAUUGUAUAAUCUAUG
Non-coding RNA from Arachis ipaensis, 1028 nucleotides. NCBI's taxonomy places the organism in Eukaryota, Viridiplantae, Streptophyta, Magnoliopsida, Fabales, Fabaceae. The record is from RefSeq and is a predicted model, not a curated record.